RNAcentral lists this ribosomal RNA (2037 nucleotides) under Triticum aestivum (bread wheat). Its description in RNAcentral is "partial small subunit ribosomal RNA". The record is from RNAcentral. Lineage: Eukaryota; Viridiplantae; Streptophyta; Magnoliopsida; Poales; Poaceae.
AUGGAAGGCCCCGUCCCUGCCCCCUCCUCCUCCUCCGCCGCACCCGCCGUCGCUAGGGUUCCGGCCGCCGCGCCCUCCGCUGCCGCGGCCCCGCAGCCUCUCGCCGCGCAGCAGGCGCCUGCCGCCGCGGUUGCGGGAGCAGCGGCGGGGUGCCGCAGGCAGGUGUUCUCCGUGGAGCUCCGGGCCGGGGAGACCACCAUCGUGUCGUGGAAGAAGCUGCUGAAGGAGGCCGGGCACGCGGCGGCCCCACCGUUGCAGCCGCUGGCAGUGGUGCCCGCGGAGCCUGCAGUUGCCGCACAACCGGGCCCGCCUGCUGCGGCACUCCCUGCAGAAAAUGACCCAGAGGAUCCAGCGCAGCCAAAUCGGUUUAAUGCCGUUAUCGAGAAAAUCGAGCGCCUUUACAUGGGUAAACAUAGCAGCGAUGAAGAAGAUCUUGAUGAUGUACCGGACGACGAUCAAUAUGACACUGAUGAUUCUUUUAUUGAUGAUGCUGAAUUGGAUGAAUAUUUUGAAGUUGAUAAUUUGACGACUAAGCACACUGGUUUUUUUGUUAACAAAGGGACAUUGGAACAGAUUGAACCUGGUACAUCAGCAAAUGUCGCGCCAAAGAAAAGGAGAAGCAAAGACCAGUCAGUUGAUCGUAUUGAAAAUAGUCAGGGUGCUACAGGUGAUUAUUUGAAGUCUGGGAAAGCAAGCGGUCUGAAAAAAGUAGCUACUGGCAAUGGUGAAUAUUACCAUGAAGGCAGCAGAGGAGUGAAGACUAAACCCAGCACAACCGGAGUCCUAAAAAGGAGAUCGACUGAUUUUGCCACAGUGUACAGGGAUAAAGAUCCUUCAACACAACUUGAUUUUCAACAAAAACAGACUUACAAUGGGGAAAAUGAAGAUCCGACCAGCAAAAUAUAUCGCAAAGAUAUAGCUGGAACGAACGACUUCUCUAGCAUGGAUGUGUCUGGUGCUGCCUAUCCUACACAAGCAAUGCACCUGACCACUGGCAGGGAGAGUGCAGGUACCAAACCUAAAGGCACUAGGCUUGAGCGAGCCAUUCGGGAUCUCCAAAAGAUUGCUGCUAAUUACAAAUCGCCAGCUAUUGAUAUUAGUGAGGCUGACCCAAAUGUUCAGGCAUCAGCUCAAAGACGCUUGCCUCCAGAAGUAAAGCAAAAGCUUGCCAAGGUUGCAAGGCUAUCGACAAAUCAUGGAAAGGUACAAGAAAAUGAGUUGAUGGAUCGGCUCAUGGGCAUAGUUGGACACCUUGUUGUGCGUAGGACACUGAAGAGAAACAUGAAGGAAUUGGUAAAAUCAGGACUCUCUGCUAAACAAGAGAAGGCUGGUAGGCUGCAGCAAGUAAAAAUGGAGAUCAAUGAAAUGGUCAAAGCAAGUAUGGCUGCCAAGGCCAAGGUCAAUGAACAACAAGAUGGCUCAGCUGAUGAUUUUCAGACUGUCACUGAUGAAAGAAGAGAUUUGAAAGGAAAGUCUGCAAUGGAUAGUGCACUGGAGGACAGAAUAUGUGAUCUGUAUGAUCUGUAUGUUGAGGGUAUGGAUGAAGACAAGGGUCCUCAAAGCAGGAAACUAUAUGUUGAGCUUGCAGAAUUAUGGCCACAAGGUUACAUGGAUAAAUUUGGAAUCAAAGAUGCCAUAUCUAGAUCAAAGGAGCGAAAGGGAACAUUACACAACCAACAGAAGGUUCAGAAUGAGGAGAAACUGAAGCGGAAAAGGCUGGCUGCGGCAGCGAAACUGCCAGAUAGCUACCCUGUUGUAACACAAAGCACAGCGGCCGUGCAAGUCGCACAUCCAUCCAUGUCCAACCCCGUUACAACAUACCCUGUGACCGACUAUGGACAGAACCAGGUCCCGAAAAGUCUUGAAAGGGUUCGCGAAACUAGCUCAAGUGCAAUAGCUGACGAGAGCAGCAAAAAUGCUGGUGACAUGAAGAAGAAGAAAAGGAAGUCGGAUCCUGAUGUUGUCGAUACACAAGCCAACAUUGUUACCAUGCCCACCGUGCUUGGUCUCCCUUUCUAUGACCAACAACCAAGCUGA